Molecule: long non-coding RNA, 215 nt
Filed under: Elaeis guineensis (African oil palm)
Lineage: Eukaryota; Viridiplantae; Streptophyta; Magnoliopsida; Arecales; Arecaceae
Description: long non-coding RNA (EGUI_LNC063703)
Source: RNAcentral
GAAUAGUGCCCCUUGAACUCUUUGAGGUACCCUCCGUGGUGACCAACAUAUUGAUGAGUUUGAAAAUAGUGUAGUCAAGUUUGUUCAUAUGAAAAUUUAUAAUGAAUUAACUAUAUGAAAUGGUAAUGAAUUGAAAGAUCAGAUCCAUCUGCAAUUCUUUUUGUAUUUCUAGCCUGAGCUUCUCAAGCUCCUCAAUGUCCUUGAUCACUGUCAUA